UGGGGAAUUUGGACAAUGGGCGAAAGCCUGAUCCAGCAAUGCCGCGUGUGUGAAGAAGGCCUUCGGGUUGUAAAGCACUUUUGUCCGGAAAGAAAUCCUUGGCUCUAAUACAGUCGGGGGAUGACGGUACCGGAAGAAUAAGCACCGGCUAACUACGUGCCAGCAGCCGCGGUAAUACGUAGGGUGCAAGCGUUAAUCGGAAUUACUGGGCGUAAAGCGUGCGCAGGCGGUUUGCUAAGACCGAUGUGAAAUCCCCGGGCUCAACCUGGGAACUGCAUUGGUGACUGGCAGGCUAGAGUAUGGCAGAGGGGGGUAGAAUUCCACGUGUAGCAGUGAAAUGCGUAGAGAUGUGGAGGAAUACCGAUGGCGAAGGCAGCCCCCUGGGCCAAUACUGACGCUCAUGCACGAAAGCGUGGGGAGCAAACAGGAUUAGAUACCCUGGUAGUCCACGCCCUAAACGAUGUCAACUAGUUGUUGGGGAUUCAUUUCCUUAGUAACGUAGCUAACGCGUGAAGUUGACCGCCUGGGGAGUACGGUCGCAAGAUUAAAACU
RNAcentral lists this ribosomal RNA (552 nucleotides) under uncultured bacterium. RNAcentral's name for it is "partial 16S ribosomal RNA". It matches the Rfam family "Bacterial small subunit ribosomal RNA", at positions 356 to 901 of the family's 1533-position model. The record is from RNAcentral.